Molecule: ribosomal RNA, 253 nt
Filed under: uncultured bacterium
Lineage: Bacteria
Description: partial 16S ribosomal RNA
Rfam family: Bacterial small subunit ribosomal RNA
Source: RNAcentral
UACAGAGGUCCCAAGCGUUGUUCGGAUUCACUGGGCGUAAAGGGUGCGUAGGCGGUCGGGUAAGUCUGAUGUGAAAUCUCACAGCUUAACUGUGAAACUGCAUUGGAUACUAUCCGGCUCGAGGAAUGGAGGGGAGACUGGAAUACUUGGUGUAGCAGUGAAAUGCGUAGAUAUCAAGUGGAACACCAGUGGCGAAGGCGAGUCUCUAGACAUUUCCUGACGCUGAGGCACGAAAGCCAGGGGAGCGAACGGG